AGAACGAACGCUGGCGGCAGGCUUAACACAUGCAAGUCGAACGCCCCGCAAGGGGAGUGGCAGACGGGUGAGUAACACGUGGGAACGUCCCCCCUCGGUUCGGAAUAACUCAGGGAAACUUGAGCUAAUACCGGAUACGUCCGAGAGGAGAAAGAUUUAUCGCCGAGGGAUCGGCCCGCGUCUGAUUAGCUAGUUGGUAGGGUAACGGCCUACCAAGGCGACGAUCAGUAGCUGGUCUGAGAGGAUGACCAGCCACACUGGGACUGAGACACGGCCCAGACUCCUACGGGAGGCAGCAGUGGGGAAUCUUGGACAAUGGCGCAAGCCUGAUCCAGCCAUGCCGCGUGAGUGAUGAAGGCCUUAGGGUUGUAAAGCUCUUUCGACGGGACGAUAAUGACGGUACCCGUAGAAGAAGCCCGGCUAACUUCGUGCCAGCAGCCGC
RNAcentral lists this ribosomal RNA (442 nucleotides) under uncultured bacterium. RNAcentral's name for it is "SSU rRNA". It matches the Rfam family "Bacterial small subunit ribosomal RNA", at positions 26 to 518 of the family's 1533-position model. The record is from RNAcentral.